UCCCAGGUAGCUCAAACGGUAAAGAAUCUGUCUGCAAUGCAGGAGGCCUGGGUUCGAUCCCUGGGUUGAGAA
Molecule: transfer RNA, 72 nt
Filed under: Bos taurus (domestic cattle)
Lineage: Eukaryota; Metazoa; Chordata; Mammalia; Artiodactyla; Bovidae
Also listed under: 4 other names
Rfam family: tRNA
About the family: Transfer RNA (tRNA) molecules are approximately 80 nucleotides in length. Their secondary structure includes four short double-helical elements and three loops (D, anti-codon, and T loops).
Source: Rfam by way of RNAcentral